CCUACGGGUGGCUGCAGUGGGGAAUAUUGCGCAAUGGGCGAAAGCCUGACGCAGCGACGCCGCGUGAGGGAUGAAGGUCUUCGGAGCGUAAACCUCUGUCAGCAGGGAAGAAAGGUCACUGUGCUAAUCAGCAGUGAAUUGACGGUACCUGCAAGGGAAGCACCGGCUAACUCCGUGCCAGCAGCCGCGGUAAUACGGAGGGUGCGAGCGUUAAUCGGAAUGACUGGGCGGAAAGGGGUCGUAGGCGGUAUGUCAAGUCAAGGGUGAAAUCCCCGCGCUCAACGUGGGAACUGCCUUUGAUACUGGCAAACUUGAGUGUGUGAGAGGAUAGGGGAAUUCCAGGUGUAGGAGUGAAAUCCGUAGAUAUCUGGAGGAACACCAGUGGCGAAGGCGACUAUCUGGCACAUAACUGACGCUGAGGAGCGAAAGCGUGGGUAGCAAACAGGAUUAGAUACCCUGGUAGUC
This 465-nucleotide ribosomal RNA is filed under the name uncultured bacterium. Its description in RNAcentral is "partial 16S ribosomal RNA". It matches the Rfam family "Bacterial small subunit ribosomal RNA", at positions 338 to 795 of the family's 1533-position model. The record is from RNAcentral.